RNAcentral lists this ribosomal RNA (301 nucleotides) under uncultured bacterium. RNAcentral describes it as "partial 16S ribosomal RNA". It matches the Rfam family "Bacterial small subunit ribosomal RNA", at positions 509 to 808 of the family's 1533-position model. The record is from RNAcentral.
CAGUCGCCACGGUAAUACGUAGGUCCCGAGCGUUGUCCGGAUUUAUUGGGCGUAAAGCGAGCGCAGGCGGUUAGAUAAGUCUGAAGUUAAAGGCUGUGGCUUAACCAUAGUACGCUUUGGAAACUGUUUAACUUGAGUGCAGAAGGGGAGAGUGGAAUUCCAUGUGUAGCGGUGAAAUGCGUAGAUAUAUGGAGGAACACCGGUGGCGAAAGCGGCUCUCUGGUCUGUAACUGACGCUGAGGCUCGAAAGCGUGGGGAGCAAACAGGAUUAGAUACCCCCGUAGUCCCUGUCUCUUAUACA